This 163-nucleotide ribosomal RNA is filed under the name uncultured bacterium. RNAcentral describes it as "partial 16S rRNA". It matches the Rfam family "Bacterial small subunit ribosomal RNA", at positions 355 to 511 of the family's 1533-position model. The record is from RNAcentral.
UAGGGAAUCUUCCACAGUGGGCGAAAGCCUGAUGGAGCAACGCCGCGUGUGUGAUGAAGGCUUUCGGUCGUAAAGCACUGUUGUAUGGGAAGAACAGCUAGAAUAGGAAAUGAUUUUAGUUUGACGGUACCAUACCAGAAAGGGACGGCUAAAUACGUGCCAG